GAUGAACGCUGGCGGCGUGCCUAAUACAUGCAAGUCGAGCGAACGGACGAGAAGCUUGCUUUUCUGAUGUUAGCGGCGGACGGGUGAGUAACACGUGGAUAACCUACCUAUAAGACUGGGAUAACUUCGGGAAACCGGAGCUAAUACCGGAUAAUAUUUUGAACCGCAUGGUUCAAAAGUGAAAGACGGUCUUGCUGGCACUUAUAGAUGGAUCCGCGCUGCAUUAGCUAGUUGGUAAGGUAACGGCUUACCAAGGCAACGAUGCAUAGCCGACCUCAGAGGGUGAUCGGCCACCCUGGAACUGAGACACGCUCCAGACUCCUACGGGAGGCCGCAGUAGGGAAUCUUCCGCAAUGGGCGAAAGCCUGACGGAGCAACGCCGAGUGAGUGAUGAAGGUCUUCGGAUCGUAAAACCCUGUUAUUAGGGAAAAACAUAUGUGUAAGUAACUGUGCACAUCUUGACGGUACCUAAUCAGAAAGCCACGGCUAACUACGUG
RNAcentral lists this ribosomal RNA (497 nucleotides) under uncultured bacterium. Its description in RNAcentral is "partial 16S ribosomal RNA". It matches the Rfam family "Bacterial small subunit ribosomal RNA", at positions 28 to 507 of the family's 1533-position model. The record is from RNAcentral.